UACGUAGGUGGCAAGCGUUGUCCGGAUUUACUGGGCGUAAAGGGAGCGUAGGCGGAUACUUAAGUGGGAUGUGAAAUACCUGGGCUUAACCUGGGUGCUGCAUUCCAAACUGGGUGUCUAGAGUGUUGGAGAGGAAAGUGGAAUUCCUAGUGUAGCGGUGAAAUGCGUAGAGAUUAGGAAGAACACCAGUGGCGAAGGCGACUUUCUGGACAAUAACUGACGCUGAGGCUCGAAAGCGUGGGGAGCAAACAGGAUUAGAUACCCUGGUAGUCCACGCCGUAAACGAUGGGUGCUAGGUGUAGGGGGUAUCGACUCCCCCUGUGCCGCCGUUAACACAAUAAGUACCCCGCCUGGGGAGUACGGUCGCAAGAUUGAA
Molecule: ribosomal RNA, 376 nt
Filed under: uncultured bacterium
Lineage: Bacteria
Description: bacterial SSU rRNA
Rfam family: Bacterial small subunit ribosomal RNA
Source: RNAcentral